GGGUUGUGAGGUUAAGCGACUAAGCGUACACGGUGGAUGCCCUGGCAGUCAGAGGCGAUGAAGGACGUGCUAAUCUGCGAAAAGCGUCGGUAAGGUGAUAUGAACCGUUAUAACCGGCGAUGUCCGAAUGGGGAAACCCAGUGUGAUUCGUCACACUAUCGUUAACUGAAUACAUAGGUUAACGAGGCGAACCGGGGGAACUGAAACAUCUAAGUACCCCGAGGAAAAGAAAUCAACCGAGAUUCCCCCAGUAGCGGCGAGCGAACGGGGAGCAGCCCAGAGUCUGAAUCAGCUUGUGUGUUAGUGGAACGGUCUGGAAAGUCCGACGGUACAGGGUGAUAGUCCCGUACACCAAAAUGCACAGGUUGUGAACUCGAAGAGUAGGGCGGGACACGUGGUAUCCUGUCUGAAUAUGGGGGGACCAUCCUCCAAGGCUAAAUACUCCUGACUGACCGAUAGUGAACCAGUACCGUGAGGGAAAGGCGAAAAGAACCCCGGCGAGGGGAGUGAAAAAGAACCUGAAACCGUGUACGUACAAGCAGUGGGAGCACCUUCGGGUGUGACUGCGUACCUUUUGUAUAAUGGGUCAGCGACUUAUAUUCUGUAGCAAGGUUAACCGUAUAGGGGAGCCGCAGGGAAACCGAGUCUUAACUGGGCGUUAAGUUGCAGGGUAUAGACCCGAAACCCGGUGAUCUAGCCAUGGGCAGGUUGAAGGUUGGGUAACACUAACUGGAGGACCGAACCGACUAAUGUUGAAAAAUUAGCGGAUGACUUGUGGCUGGGGGUGAAAGGCCAAUCAAACCGGGAGAUAGCUGGUUCUCCCCGAAAGCUAUUUAGGUAGCGCCUCGUGAACUCAUCUUCGGGGGUAGAGCACUGUUUCGGCUAGGGGGUCAUCCCGACUUACCAACCCGAUGCAAACUACGAAUACCGAAGAAUGUUAUCACGGGAGACACACGGCGGGUGCUAACGUCCGUCGUGAAGAGGGAAACAACCCAGACCGCCAGCUAAGGUCCCAAAGUCAUGGUUAAGUGGGAAACGAUGUGGGAAGGCACAGACAGCCAGGAUGUUGGCUUAGAAGCAGCCAUCAUUUAAAGAAAGCGUAAUAGCUCACUGGUCGAGUCGGCCUGCGCGGAAGAUGUAACGGGGCUAAACCAUGCACCGAAGCUGCGGCAGCGACACUAUGUGUUGUUGGGUAGGGGAGCGUUCUGUAAGCCUGCGAAGGUGUGCUGUGAGGCAUGCUGGAGGUAUCAGAAGUGCGAAUGCUGACAUAAGUAACGAUAAAGCGGGUGAAAAGCCCGCUCGCCGGAAGACCAAGGGUUCCUGUCCAACGUUAAUCGGGGCAGGGUGAGUCGACCCCUAAGGCGAGGCCGAAAGGCGUAGUCGAUGGGAAACAGGUUAAUAUUCCUGUACUUGGUGUUACUGCGAAGGGGGGACGGAGAAGGCUAUGUUAGCCGGGCGACGGUUGUCCCGGUUUAAGCAUGUAGGCUGGUUGUCCAGGCAAAUCCGGAUAAUCAAGGCUGAGGUGUGAUGACGAGGCACUACGGUGCUGAAGUAACAAAUGCCCUGCUUCCAGGAAAAGCCUCUAAGCAUCAGGUAACAUUAAAUCGUACCCCAAACCGACACAGGUGGUCAGGUAGAGAAUACCAAGGCGCUUGAGAGAACUCGGGUGAAGGAACUAGGCAAAAUGGUGCCGUAACUUCGGGAGAAGGCACGCUGGUGUGUAGGUGAAGUCCCUGCGGAUGGAGCUGAGACCAGUCGAAGAUACCAGCUGGCUGCAACUGUUUAUUAAAAACACAGCACUGUGCAAACACGAAAGUGGACGUAUACGGUGUGACGCCUGCCCGGUGCCGGAAGGUUAAUUGAUGGGGUUAUCCGUAAGGAGAAGCUCUUGAUCGAAGCCCCGGUAAACGGCGGCCGUAACUAUAACGGUCCUAAGGUAGCGAAAUUCCUUGUCGGGUAAGUUCCGACCUGCACGAAUGGCGUAAUGAUGGCCAGGCUGUCUCCACCCGAGACUCAGUGAAAUUGAACUCGCUGUGAAGAUGCAGUGUACCCGCGGCAAGACGGAAAGACCCCGUGAACCUUUACUAUAGCUUGACACUGAACAUUGAGCCUUGAUGUGUAGGAUAGGUGGGAGGCUUUGAAGCGUGGACGCCAGUCUGCGUGGAGCCAACCUUGAAAUACCACCCUUUAAUGUUUGAUGUUCUAACGUUGGCCCCUUACCGGGGUUGCGGACAGUGUCUGGUGGGUAGUUUGACUGGGGCGGUCUCCUCCCAAAGCGUAACGGAGGAGCACGAAGGUUAGCUAAUCCUGGUCGGACAUCAGGAGGUUAGUGCAAUGGCAUAAGCUAGCUUGACUGCGAGCGUGACGGCGCGAGCAGGUGCGAAAGCAGGUCAUAGUGAUCCGGUGGUUCUGAAUGGAAGGGCCAUCGCUCAACGGAUAAAAGGUACUCCGGGGAUAACAGGCUGAUACCGCCCAAGAGUUCAUAUCGACGGCGGUGUUUGGCACCUCGAUGUCGGCUCAUCACAUCCUGGGGCUGAAGUAGGUCCCAAGGGUAUGGCUGUUCGCCAUUUAAAGUGGUACGCGAGCUGGGUUUAGAACGUCGUGAGACAGUUCGGUCCCUAUCUGCCGUGGGCGCUGGAGAAUUGAGGGGGGCUGCUCCUAGUACGAGAGGACCGGAGUGGACGCAUCACUGGUGUUCGGGUUGUCAUGCCAAUGGCACUGCCCGGUAGCUAAAUGCGGAAGAGAUAAGUGCUGAAAGCAUCUAAGCACGAAACUUGCCCCGAGAUGAGUUCUCCCUGAGACUUUAAGUCUCCUGAAGGAACGUU
RNAcentral lists this ribosomal RNA (2825 nucleotides) under Klebsiella pneumoniae. RNAcentral describes it as "partial 23S ribosomal RNA". It matches the Rfam family "Bacterial large subunit ribosomal RNA". Lineage: Bacteria; Pseudomonadati; Pseudomonadota; Gammaproteobacteria; Enterobacterales; Enterobacteriaceae. The record is from RNAcentral.